GCUGGCGGCGUGCCUAACACAUGCAAGNCGAACGGGGGUAGCAAUACCUCAGUGGCGAMCGGGUGCGUAACACGUGAAGAAUUUGUCCAACGGUGGGGGAUAGCCGGCCCAACGGCCGGGUAAUACCGCGUACGCCCGUCGAGCGGCAUCGCUUGACGGGGAAAGUCGCAAGACGCCGAUGGAGAACUUCGCGGCCUAUCAGCUAGUUGGUGAGGUCAUGGCUCACCAAGGCGACGACGGGUAGCUGGUCCGAGAGGAUGACCAGCCACAUUGGGACUGAGACACGGCCCAGACUCCUACGGGAGGCAGCAGUGGGGAAUAUUGCGCAAUGGGCGAAAGCCUGACGCAGCGACGCCGCGUGUGGGAUGACGGCCUUCGGGUUGUAAACCACUUUCGGGAGGGACGAAGAUCUGACGGUACCUCCAAAGGAAGCACCGGCUAACUCUGUGCCAGCAGCCGCGGUAAUACAGAGGGUGCGAGCGUUGUCCGGAAUCACUGGGCGUAAAGGGCGCGUAGGCGGCCUGGUAAGUAGGGGGUGAAAUCUCGCGGCUCAACUGCGAGGCUGCCUCCUAAACUGUCAGGCUCGAGCA
Molecule: ribosomal RNA, 590 nt
Filed under: uncultured soil bacterium
Lineage: Bacteria
Description: bacterial SSU rRNA
Rfam family: Bacterial small subunit ribosomal RNA
Source: RNAcentral